UGGGGAAUAUUGCACAAUGGGGGAAACCCUGAUGCAGCGACGCCGCGUGAGCGAAGAAGUAUUUCGGUAUGUAAAGCUCUAUCAGCAGGGAAGAAACUGACGGUACCUGACUAAGAAGCACCGGCUAAAUACGUGCCAGCAGCCGCGGUAAUACGUAUGGUGCAAGCGUUAUCCGGAUUUACUGGGUGUAAAGGGAGCGUAGACGGAUAGGCAAGUCUGGAGUGAAAGCCCGGGGCUCAACCCCGGGACUGCUUUGGAAACUGUUUAUCUAGAGUGCUGGAGAGGCAAGUGGAAUUCCUAGUGUAGCGGUGAAAUGCGUAGAUAUUAGGAGGAACACCAGUGGCGAAGGCGGCUUGCUGGACAGUAACUGACGUUGAGGCUCGAAAGCGUGGGGAGCAAACAGG
Molecule: ribosomal RNA, 404 nt
Filed under: uncultured bacterium
Lineage: Bacteria
Also listed under: 1 other name
Description: bacterial SSU rRNA
Rfam family: Bacterial small subunit ribosomal RNA
Source: RNAcentral